Molecule: long non-coding RNA, 255 nt
Filed under: Ananas comosus (pineapple)
Lineage: Eukaryota; Viridiplantae; Streptophyta; Magnoliopsida; Poales; Bromeliaceae
Description: long non-coding RNA (ACOM_LNC039278)
Source: RNAcentral
UAGAGAAUUAAUUAUGUGAAAAUUUAAUCUGAACUAUAUAGAUAUUGUUAAAAUCGGAACGGCGAAAAAUAGAUCCAGAAAAUAACUUAAUGCAGAAAACGAAAAGAUAAGCGGAAAGAAUACACCAAUAUUUACGUGGUUCGGCCAACGACCUACGUCCACGGGCGAAGACGGAGCAAAUAAUUUAUUAAUGUCGAAAAGGCGGAGUACAAGAAAGAUCUCUCAAAAGAAUUUCAUAAUCCAAAUAAAUAAAUU